GAUGAACGCUGGCGGCGUGCCUAAUACAUGCAAGUCGAGCGAACAGACGAGGAGCUUGCUCCUCUGACGUUAGCGGCGGACGGGUGAGUAACACGUGGAUAACCUACCUAUAAGACUGGGAUAACUUCGGGAAACCGGAGCUAAUACCGGAUAAUAUAUUGAACCGCAUGGUUCAAUAGUGAAAGACGGUUUUGCUGUCACUUAUAGAUGGAUCCGCGCCGCAUUAGCUAGUUGGUAAGGUAACGGCUUACCAAGGCAACGAUGCGUAGCCGACCUGAGAGGGUGAUCGGCCACACUGGAGCUGGGACACGGACCAGACUCCUACGGGAGGCAGCAGUAGGGAAUCUUCCGCAGUGGGCGAAAGCCUGACGGAGCAACGCCGCGUGAGUGAUGAAGGUCUUCGGAUCGUGAAACUCUGUUAUUAGGGAAGAACAAAUGUGUAAGUAACUAUGCACGUCUUGACGGUACCUAAUCAGAAAGCCACGGCUAACUACGUG
Molecule: ribosomal RNA, 497 nt
Filed under: uncultured bacterium
Lineage: Bacteria
Description: partial 16S ribosomal RNA
Rfam family: Bacterial small subunit ribosomal RNA
Source: RNAcentral